RNAcentral lists this ribosomal RNA (520 nucleotides) under uncultured Glomus. Its description in RNAcentral is "SSU rRNA". It matches the Rfam family "Eukaryotic small subunit ribosomal RNA", at positions 569 to 1090 of the family's 1831-position model. Lineage: Eukaryota; Fungi; Glomeromycota; Glomeromycetes; Glomerales; Glomeraceae. The record is from RNAcentral.
AGCAGCCGCGGUAAUUCCAGCUCCAAUAGCGUAUAUUAAAGUUGUUGCAGUUAAAAAGCUCGUAGUUGAAUUUCGGGGUUAGUAGGUUGGUCGUGCCUCAGGUAUGUACUGGUCUCACUGAUUCCUCCUUCCUGAUGAACCGUAAUGCCAUUAAUUUGGUGUUGCGGGGAAACUGGACUGUUACUUUGAAAAAAUUAGAGUGUUUAAAGCAGGCUAACGCUUGAAUACAUUAGCAUGGAAUAAUGAAAUAGGACGUUCGAUCCUAUUUUGUUGGUUUCUAGGAUUGACGUAAUGAUUAAUAGGGAUAGUUGGGGGCAUUAGUAUUCAAUUGUCAGAGGUGAAAUUCUUGGAUUUAUUGAAGACUAACUACUGCGAAAGCAUUUGCCAAGGAUGUUUUCAUUAAUCAAGAACGAAAGUUAGGGGAUCGAAGACGAUCAGAUACCGUCGUAGUCUUAACCAUAAACUAUGCCGACUAGGGAUCGGAUGAUGUUAAUUUUUAAUGUACUCAUUCGGCGCCUUA